Molecule: long non-coding RNA, 412 nt
Organism: Bactrocera latifrons
Lineage: Eukaryota; Metazoa; Arthropoda; Insecta; Diptera; Tephritidae
Exons: 2
Source: RefSeq, a predicted model, not a curated record
UAUGUACCUACAAACCUACUACAAGUAAAAUUGAAACAAAGUGGAGAGUUAAACACUACUAAAAUGCAGCAAGCCUUGACUGGAGAAUAAACUUUGAAAGCAAAUAAAAUUUCAAAUAUAUAAUAGUGGUUUUAAAAAGUGGUUCUAACAAGUCAUUUAUGAUUAAUAAUGAAGGAAUACAUUUGGCUUUCUGCGCGGCUAACUGGUUUAACACACGAAUCAUGCAAUUGAUUAACUAAGAAAUUCCACAUUUUAUGUGGAAGUGACGGAAGUAAGCGCUUAAAAGAUUUGCAAGAACGAUCGUACUCAAGUGCUUGUAUGAGAAACUUUUUCAUUUGCGAAUAUAUCUUUACAAAAUUUGGCAUACGUUAUUGCCCCAGGCAAUACAAUCUUCCAACAAAUCGUAUAGAUC